CAGGCUUAACACAUGCAAGUCGAGGGGCAGCAUGGUCUUAGCUUGCUAAGGCCGAUGGCGACCGGCGCACGGGUGAGUAACACGUAUCCAACCUGCCGUCUACUCUUGGACAGCCUUCUGAAAGGAAGAUUAAUACAAGAUGGCAUCAUGAGUCCGCAUGUUCACAUGAUUAAAGGUAUUCCGGUAGACGAUGGGGAUGCGUUCCAUUAGAUAGUAGGCGGGGUAACGGCCCACCUAGUCUUCGAUGGAUAGGGGUUCUGAGAGGAAGGUCCCCCACAUUGGAACUGAGACACGGUCCAAACUCCUACGGGAGGCAGCAGUGAGGAAUAUUGGUCAAUGGGCGAGAGCCUGAACCAGCCAAGUAGCGUGAAGGAUGACUGCCCUAUGGGUUGUAAACUUCUUUUAUAAAGGAAUAAAGUCGGGUAUGCAUACCCGUUUGCAUGUACUUUAUGAAUAAGGAUCGGCUAACUCCGUGCCAGCAGCCGCGGUAAUACGGAGGAUCCGAGCGUUAUCCGGAUUUAUUGGGUUUAAAGGGAGCGUAGAUGGAUGUUUAAGUCAGUUGUGAAAGUUUGCGGCUCAACCGUAAAAUUGCAGUUGAUACUGGAUAUCUUGAGUGCAGUUGAGGCAGGCGGAAUUCGUGGUGUAGCGGUGAAAUGCUUAGAUAUCACGAAGAACUCCGAUUGCGAAGGCAGCCUGCUAAGCUGCAACUGACAUUGAGGCUCGAAAGUGUGGGUAUCAAACAGGAUUAGAUACCCUGGUAGUCCACACGGUAAACGAUGAAUACUCGCUGUUUGCGAUAUACGGCAAGCGGCCAAGCGAAAGCGUUAAGUAUUCCACCUGGGGAGUACGCCGGCAACGGUGAAACUCAAAGGAAUUGACGGGGGCCCGCACAAGCGGAGGAACAUGUGGUUUAAUUCGAUGAUACGCGAGGAACCUUACCCGGGCUUAAAUUGCAGAUGAAUUACGGUGAAAGCCGUAAGCCGCAAGGCAUCUGUGAAGGUGCUGCAUGGUUGUCGUCAGCUCGUGCCGUGAGGUGUCGGCUUAAGUGCCAUAACGAGCGCAACCCUUGUUGUCAGUUACUAACAGGUUCCGCUGAGGACUCUGACAAGACUGCCAUCGUAAGAUGUGAGGAAGGUGGGGAUGACGUCAAAUCAGCACGGCCCUUACGUCCGGGGCUACACACGUGUUACAAUGGGGGGUACAGAGGGCCGCUACCACGCGAGUGGAUGCCGAUCCCCAAAACCUCUCUCAGUUCGGACUGGAGUCUGCAACCCGACUCCACGAAGCUGGAUUCGCUAGUAAUCGCGCAUCAGCCACGGCGCGGUGAAUACGUUCCCGGGCCUUGUACACACCGCCCGUCAAGCCAUGGGAGCCGGGGGUACCUGAAGUGCGUAACCGCGAGGAGCGCCCUAGGGUAAAACUGGUGACUGGGGCUAAGUC
RNAcentral lists this ribosomal RNA (1440 nucleotides) under uncultured organism. RNAcentral's name for it is "16S ribosomal RNA". It matches the Rfam family "Bacterial small subunit ribosomal RNA". The record is from RNAcentral.